UACAGAGGGGGCAAGCGUUGUUCGGAAUUACUGGGCGUAAAGGGCGCGUAGGCGGCCUGUUAAGUCGAACGUGAAAUCCCCGGGCUCAACCCGGGAACUGCGUCCGAUACUGGCAGGCUUGAAUCCGGGAGAGGGAUGUGGAAUUCCAGGUGUAGCGGUGAAAUGCGUAGAUAUCUGGGGGAACACCGGUGGCGAAGGCGGCAUCCUGGACCGGUAUUGACGCUGAGGCGCGAAAGCCAGGGGAGCAAACGGG
This 253-nucleotide ribosomal RNA is filed under the name uncultured bacterium. RNAcentral describes it as "partial 16S ribosomal RNA". It matches the Rfam family "Bacterial small subunit ribosomal RNA", at positions 524 to 776 of the family's 1533-position model. The record is from RNAcentral.